GAGAGGCAAGCAUAAAUGGUGUGCGGCUAGCUUGAAACUAGCUCGUGGUGGUUCAAGUCCCCCGUCUCUUG
Molecule: transfer RNA, 71 nt
Filed under: Geckolepis petiti
Lineage: Eukaryota; Metazoa; Chordata; Lepidosauria; Squamata; Gekkonidae
Description: tRNA-Ser
Rfam family: tRNA
About the family: Transfer RNA (tRNA) molecules are approximately 80 nucleotides in length. Their secondary structure includes four short double-helical elements and three loops (D, anti-codon, and T loops).
Source: RNAcentral